UCCUCGGUAGUGUGAUGGAUCAACGCGACAGACCAGAUAUCUAUUAGUGCGGGUUCGAGUCCCGCCUGAGGUU
RNAcentral lists this transfer RNA (73 nucleotides) under Dictyocaulus viviparus (bovine lungworm). It matches the Rfam family "tRNA". Rfam says of the family: Transfer RNA (tRNA) molecules are approximately 80 nucleotides in length. Their secondary structure includes four short double-helical elements and three loops (D, anti-codon, and T loops). The record is from Rfam by way of RNAcentral. Lineage: Eukaryota; Metazoa; Nematoda; Chromadorea; Rhabditida; Metastrongylidae.